This 424-nucleotide ribosomal RNA is filed under the name uncultured Azospira sp. RNAcentral's name for it is "bacterial SSU rRNA". It matches the Rfam family "Bacterial small subunit ribosomal RNA", at positions 18 to 444 of the family's 1533-position model. Lineage: Bacteria; Pseudomonadati; Pseudomonadota; Betaproteobacteria; Rhodocyclales; Rhodocyclaceae. The record is from RNAcentral.
CCUGGCUCAGAUUGAACGCUGGCGGCAUGCCUUACACAUGCAAGUCGAACGGCAGCACGGGAGCUUGCUCCUGGUGGCGAGUGGCGAACGGGUGAGUAAUACAUCGGAACGUACCCAGGAGUGGGGGAUAACGUAGCGAAAGUUACGCUAAUACCGCAUAUUCUGUGAGCAGGAAAGCGGGGGAUCGCAAGACCUCGCGCUCUAGGAGCGGCCGAUGUCGGAUUAGCUAGUUGGUGAGGUAAAAGCUCACCAAGGCGACGAUCCGUAGCAGGUCUGAGAGGAUGAUCUGCCACACUGGGACUGAGACACGGCCCAGACUCCUACGGGAGGCAGCAGUGGGGAAUUUUGGACAAUGGGGGCAACCCUGAUCCAGCCAUGCCGCGAGUGAAGAAGGCCUUCGGGUUGUAAAGCUCUUUCGGCGGGG